RNAcentral lists this ribosomal RNA (496 nucleotides) under uncultured bacterium. Its description in RNAcentral is "partial 16S ribosomal RNA". It matches the Rfam family "Bacterial small subunit ribosomal RNA", at positions 28 to 506 of the family's 1533-position model. The record is from RNAcentral.
GAUGAACGCUGGCGGCGUGCCUAAUACAUGCAAGUCGAGCGAACGGACGAGAAGCUUGCUUUUCUGAUGUUAGCGGCGGACGGGUGAGUAACACGUGGAUAACCUACCUAUAAGACUGGGAUAACUUCGGGAAACCGGAGCUAAUACCGGAUAAUAUUUUGAACCGCAUGGUUCAAAAGUGAAAGACGGUCUUGCUGUCACUUAUAGAUGGAUCCGCGCUGCAUUAGCUAGUUGGUAAGGUAACGGCUUACCAAGGCAACGACGCAUAGCCGACCUGAGAGGGUGAUCGGCCACACUGGAACUGAGACACGGUCCAGACUCCUACGGGAGGCAGCAGUAGGGAAUCUUCCGCAAUGGGCGAAAGCCUGACGGAGCAACGCCGCGUGAGUGAUGAAGGUCUUCGGAUCGUAAAACUCUGUUAUUAGGGAAGAACAUAUGUGUAAGUAACUGUGCACAUCUUGACGGUACCUAAUCAGAAAGCCACGGCUAACUACGU